Molecule: ribosomal RNA, 245 nt
Filed under: uncultured bacterium
Lineage: Bacteria
Description: partial 16S ribosomal RNA
Rfam family: Bacterial small subunit ribosomal RNA
Source: RNAcentral
CACGCCGUAAACGAUGGGUACUAGGUGUAGGGGUUUCGAUACCUCUGUGCCGCCGUAAACACAAUAAGUACCCCGCCUGGGGAGUACGGUCGCAAGAUUAAAACUCAAAGGAAUUGACGGGGGCCCGCACAAGUAGCGGAGCAUGUGGUUUAAUUCGAAGCAACGCGAAGAACCUUACCUAGACUUGACAUGUCCUGAAUUACCUGUAAUAAGGGAAGCUCUUUCGGGAGCAGGAACACAGGUGG